GAUGAACGCUGGCGGCGUGCCUAAUACAUGCAAGUCGAGCGAACAGACGAGGAGCUUGCUCCUCUGACGUUAGCGGCGGACGGGUGAGUAACACGUGGAUAACCUACCUAUAAGACUGGGAUAACUUCGGGAAACCGGAGCUAAUACCGGGUAAUAUAUUGAACCGCAUGGUUCAAUAGUGAAAGACGGUUUUGCUGUCACUUAUAGAUGGAUCCGCGCCGCAUUAGCUAGUUGGUAAGGUAACGGCUUACCAAGGCAACGAUGCGUAGCCGACCUGAGAGGGUGAUCGGCCACACUGGAACUGAGACACGGUCCAGACUCCUACGGGAGGCAGCAGUAGGGAAUCUUCCGCAAUGGGCGAAAGCGUGACGGAGCAACGCCGCGUGAGUGAUGAAGGUCUUCGGAUCGUAAAACUCUGUUAUUAGGGAAGAACAAAUGUGUAAGUAACUAUGCACGUCUUGACGGUACCUAAUCAGAAAGCCACGGCUAACUACGUG
This 497-nucleotide ribosomal RNA is filed under the name uncultured bacterium. RNAcentral describes it as "partial 16S ribosomal RNA". It matches the Rfam family "Bacterial small subunit ribosomal RNA", at positions 28 to 507 of the family's 1533-position model. The record is from RNAcentral.